Mastomys coucha (southern multimammate mouse) is the source of this 238-nucleotide long non-coding RNA. RefSeq lists it as uncharacterized. The record is from RefSeq and is a predicted model, not a curated record. NCBI's taxonomy places the organism in Eukaryota, Metazoa, Chordata, Mammalia, Rodentia, Muridae. The transcript has 2 exons.
GUAUCCACAGAGGAUCGGCCUAGGAACUACAGGUGUGUACCACUACACCAGCAGUCCUGGACUUCACAUCAUCUCUGUAUUAAUGACAGUACCCGACCCAGCGUACAUAUUGUCUCAUCUUCCCAACAAGAUAUUCUCUGCCUGAGCAUACAGGAUGAAUGUGCUCUCCAUCGUGUGCCAUGCCCUACUCUAAGCAUGUUUUGUGCUUUACACUAAAUGACCUGCUCUAAGCACUUCG